UACGAAGGGGGCUAGCGUUGCUCGGAAUCACUGGGCGUAAAGCGCACGUAGGCGGACUCUUAAGUCGGUGGUGAAAUCCUGGAGCUCAACUCCAGAACUGCCUUCGAUACUGGGAGUCUUGAGUUCGGGAGAGGUGAGUGGAACUGCGAGUGUAGAGGUGAAAUUCGUAGAUAUUCGGAAGAACACCAGUGGCGAAGGCGGCUCGCUGGUCCGGUACUGACGCUGAGGUGCGAAAGCGUGGGGAGCAAACAGG
RNAcentral lists this ribosomal RNA (253 nucleotides) under uncultured bacterium. RNAcentral describes it as "partial 16S ribosomal RNA". It matches the Rfam family "Bacterial small subunit ribosomal RNA", at positions 524 to 776 of the family's 1533-position model. The record is from RNAcentral.